CUACGAAGGGGGCUAGCGUUGUUCGGAAUCACUGGGCGUAAAGCGCGCGUAGGUGGAUCAAUUAGUUGAGGGUGAAAUCCCGGGGCUCAACCUCGGAACUGCCUUCAAUACUGUUGAUCUUGAGACCGAGAGAGGUGAGUGGAAUUCCUAGUGUAGAGGUGAAAUUCGUAGAUAUUAGGAAGAACACCAGUGGCGAAGGCGGCUCACUGGCUCGGUACUGACGCUGAGGUGCGAAAGCGUGGGGAGCAAACAGGAGUAGAUACCCUAGUAGUCC
This 274-nucleotide ribosomal RNA is filed under the name uncultured bacterium. Its description in RNAcentral is "partial 16S ribosomal RNA". It matches the Rfam family "Bacterial small subunit ribosomal RNA", at positions 523 to 796 of the family's 1533-position model. The record is from RNAcentral.